UACGUAGGGUGCAAGCGUUGUCCGGAAUUAUUGGGCGUAAAGAGCUCGUAGGCGGUUUGUCGCGUCUGCUGUGAAAUCUGGAGGCUCAACCUCCAGCCUGCAGUGGGUACGGGCAGACUAGAGUGCGGUAGGGGAGAUUGGAACUCCUGGUGUAGCGGUGGAAUGCGUAGAUAUCGGAAGGAACACCAGUGGCGAAAGCGGCUUCCUGGUCCGACACCGACGUUCAGGCACGAAAGCGUGGGGAGCAAACAGG
This 253-nucleotide ribosomal RNA is filed under the name uncultured bacterium. RNAcentral describes it as "partial 16S ribosomal RNA". It matches the Rfam family "Bacterial small subunit ribosomal RNA", at positions 524 to 776 of the family's 1533-position model. The record is from RNAcentral.